Sapajus apella (tufted capuchin) is the source of this 1761-nucleotide long non-coding RNA. RefSeq lists it as uncharacterized. The transcript is spliced from 2 exons. NCBI's taxonomy places the organism in Eukaryota, Metazoa, Chordata, Mammalia, Primates, Cebidae. The record is from RefSeq and is a predicted model, not a curated record.
GCCUCGGCCUCCCAAAGUGCUGGGAUUACAGGCGUGAGCCACCACGCCCGGCCCUUUUUUUUAAGAAUUACAGUGUUGACAAUGAGGCAAGCAUUUGCAUAAGCUGUUGGUAGAAUGUAAAUUAAUGCCUUUCUGGAAUGUACUUUGUGGGGUUUUCUUGUCCCAUAAUUUAAAAAAUAGCUUUGUUAAAGUAUAAUUGACAUACAGUAAACUGCAUAUAUUUAAAGUAUACAGUUAGGUCAGUUUUGAGACACACACACACACCCCUGUGAAACCACAAUCAAGGUAGUGAAUAUAUCUAUCACCUCUAAAAGAUUCCUGUCUUUGGUUUUUCCUCUGUCUCCUAGAAACCACUGAUCUAUGGCACACAUAGGAAAAGCUUUAGGAAAGAUAUUAAAUGCUAAUUUUGUGUGAGAUACCCCAAUAUGUUUUUUCAGAAUCCUUAAUGAGAAGCUUGAUCUUGCUCUAGAUAUAAGUUAUAAAAUUGUAUUCUUUAACUGGCUACAUGCAAUUCAUUUUUGUUAUUUUUUUAAUCUUAAUUUUUAGUUUUUUAAAGAUGGGAUCCUGCUAUGUUACCCGGGCUGGCCUCAAACUCCUGGGCUCAAGGGAUCCUCCUGCCUCAGCUCCCCAAGUAGAUAGGAUUUAUUAUAGGUGCAAGCCACUGUGCCCACGUCAGUUCUUGAUUGAGACAUUUUAUUCAGUUCUCUGAAUUCUCAGUAGUUACCAUUGAAUAGAAACUUCCUUUAUACAAAGUUGAUGAAACGGUUUAGAACUUUUAAGAAACAUUGAAAAAUCAAAAAUUUUAUAUAUACAUAGCCUAACAAUUCUUCUUGUCAUUGACAAAAUGUGAUGGUAUUUUUUUGUGAUAAUACAAAUGGACCUCAAAUACAAUUGAAAUUUUCAUAUCAAGUAUUUCCAAAUAAUAAUGACAUUCCAAUUUAUAGAACAUUAUGCAUUGUGAGAGUAGUCACCCUGCAACUGUCUUGGACAUCUCUAAGCAAAUAGAGGCUUCUGUAAGAUAGAGAUUUGGGGCAUCUACUUGGAAAUUGUACCUACAAGGAGCUGGCAUUUCUCAAAUCAGCUCUGUCUCCUACUCUUUAUUUAUAGGGCCUGAGAGUGGACCAUCAGACUACCCUGUUUGGGCUGCCUUCUAGGGAGACCUAGGUGUGGAGCUUGCUGACCAGGAGGGCUGUGGCUGCCUGGAAGACAGAAGAUGGCUAUCUCUUAACAUACUUGUAACCCAUUUGUGCACACAGAUGUACCUACUUGAAAUUGGGAAGGCCAAACGAGAUGGAGAUAAUGUUUCUGCCAACAAACAGCCAACAGAACUUGGAUUUUUCUAGAAUAGCAACAGCAGAGGCCCCCAGGUGUGGUGGCAGGACAAGGAGCAUCCGUUUUGCUGGUGGGGGUUGUAGUUAAGGUAAUGUGACUUCGGAGCUAGCAACUAGGCAGCAUCUUCUGACUUCCCAGCUUCCAGGCUGUAAGCAGAGAUAGUAGCGUCUCUUCUGGGCAGCCAGUUCUGUGAUGGUGUCCUGAGAGUCAUUCCUGGAAGUCUGACUAAAGGCUGCUCCUUCUACCCUUCCAUUCAGCUUGUAAGCAGGAGGCUUCUGUGCAUGACCAUAAACUAACAGAAGCACAUUGUGUCUAAGCUAGGUUACAGGGUUUCUGUUAUCAGCAAGUAAAUCCUGACACUACAAUAUAUGCACAUAUAUACGUUAUAGAGCAAAAAAAAAAAAAAAAAAUGGAUACUUUUCUUUAAAA